This 159-nucleotide ribosomal RNA is filed under the name Celastrus paniculatus. Its description in RNAcentral is "5.8S ribosomal RNA". It matches the Rfam family "5.8S ribosomal RNA". From Rfam's summary of the family: 5.8S ribosomal RNA (5.8S rRNA) is a component of the large subunit of the eukaryotic ribosome. It is transcribed by RNA polymerase I as part of the 45S precursor that also contains 18S and 28S rRNA. The record is from RNAcentral. Lineage: Eukaryota; Viridiplantae; Streptophyta; Magnoliopsida; Celastrales; Celastraceae.
UCUCGGCAACGGAUAUCUCGGCUCUCGCAUCGAUGAAGAACGUAGCGAAAUGCGAUACUUGGUGUGAAUUGCAGAAUCCCGUGAACCAUCGAGUUUUUGAACGCAAGUUGCGCCCGAAGCCGUCAGGCCGAGGGCACGUCUGCCUGGGUGUCACGCAAC